RNAcentral lists this ribosomal RNA (81 nucleotides) under Stenotrophomonas maltophilia. RNAcentral also lists the same sequence under 1 other name. The record is from RNAcentral. Lineage: Bacteria; Pseudomonadati; Pseudomonadota; Gammaproteobacteria; Lysobacterales; Lysobacteraceae.
CCUGGUGAAAUUAGCGCUGUGGAACCACCCGAUCCCAUCCCGAACUCGGAAGUGAAACGCAGCUGCGCCGAUGGUAGUGUG